This 380-nucleotide ribosomal RNA is filed under the name uncultured eukaryote. RNAcentral's name for it is "partial 18S ribosomal RNA". It matches the Rfam family "Eukaryotic small subunit ribosomal RNA", at positions 592 to 976 of the family's 1831-position model. The record is from RNAcentral.
CAAUAGCGUAUAUUAAAGUUGUUGCAGUUAAAAAGCUCGUAGUUGGAUUUGUGGCGUAUGGUGUGUUCCGGGCACUUGUUGUCUGAGUAACCUGCUGUUGCCAUCCUUGGGUGGAACCUGUGUGGCAUUAGGUUGUCGUGCAGGGGAGGCCCAUCAUUUACUGUGAAAAAAUUAGAGUGUUCAAAGCAGGCUUAUGCCGUUGAAUAUAUUAGCAUGGAAUAAUGAGAUAGGACUUUUUUGCUAUUUUGUUGGUUUGCGCAAGAAGGUAAUGAUUAAUAGGGACAGUUGGGGGUAUUCGUAUUCCAUUGUCAGAGGUGAAAUUCUUGGAUUUUUGGAAGACGAACUACUGCGAAAGCAUUUACCAAGGAUGUUUUCAUUAA